UGAGGAAACAUGACCUUCGGCGGGGGAUAGCCGGCCCAACGGCCGGGUAAUACCGCGUACGACCACAUGGGGACAUCCCUGAGUGGUGAAAGCAGCAAUGCGCCGAUGGAGUGCCUCGCGGCCUAUCAGCUAGUUGGUGAGGUAACGGCUCACCAAGGCAACGACGGGUAGCUGGUCUGAGAGGAUGGCCAGCCACAGUUGGAACUGAGACACGGCCCAGACCUNUACGGGAGG
Molecule: ribosomal RNA, 234 nt
Filed under: uncultured bacterium
Lineage: Bacteria
Description: partial 16S ribosomal RNA
Rfam family: Bacterial small subunit ribosomal RNA
Source: RNAcentral